Planococcus citri (citrus mealybug) is the source of this 1048-nucleotide long non-coding RNA. RefSeq lists it as uncharacterized. The record is from RefSeq and is a predicted model, not a curated record. Lineage: Eukaryota; Metazoa; Arthropoda; Insecta; Hemiptera; Pseudococcidae. The transcript is spliced from 2 exons.
CGAUUUUACGGUGCAUGCCUCUUUUAUACUCGCGCCAAUAAAAUGAAUCUGUCCAUUAAAAUAUGAAUCACCUAUUAUGGUUCCAAAUCUAUUGCUUAAUAAAUCACAAGACCUUAUCAGCUGGUUCGUUUGUAAUAAAAGCAAUGAAGUUCAUUUAAAUUUUGUUAUUACCUAUAUCUACAGUCAAUGUGGAAGAAAUUUCAUGUGAUGUGCCCUCUCUAAACCGAAAAUUUCAAAUAACGAUUUUUUCCUAUUUUUUACUCAAUUUUUUCGAUAUAAAAUUAAUUUUUAAUUCAACAGCGAAAUGAAAAAUAUAAUUACUUUCACUUUUUCGAUAACUUUUCUUAUUUUUAAAUUCACUUACGCAGAAGAAAAGUUCAGGUUAAAAUUCAACGAAGAAAAUCUCAACUGCGAUUGCACAAGUCAGAUCUGCAACAACAAUGAUGCCAUGAAGGGGAUAAAUCAUUUGCGUUCGACUAAAUUCCUUUCCAGCACCACGAUUUUAUGCGCAGGGAGUAUACUCAGAAAGGGUACUUGUAACUGUUUUAACGGAAAUUUACUCAAGGAUGAUGGAACAAGAGUGAAACGAGAUAUUCUACAUAACCUAACGGAUUUAAAAAAGAAAAUCGACCAAUUUUGCAGAUCGCUCACUAACAGCAACAUAAACGAUUUCCAACAAAUAUGCGAUGUAAUUAGCGGGGAUAAACCAGCUAUGCCUGGAAGUACAGAAGAGUUGAUACGUAAAGGAUUAAAAAUUCUCGAAUUAGUUGUGACCACCUUUUUCGAUGACUGGCCUUUUGGUCCAACUACAACGCCAAGGCCAAUGCCAAAGCGUAUGAUGUGAGAUGUUUAAAAUGCUUUCUGCAAAUUUCAUUCGUUGAGUUUUUCUAAAAAAAAAAUAAUACAAUUCAGAAAAAAAGUAAAAUUAUUUUGACUUAGGUAUUUUAAAAAUAUUAUUUUUGUCUCAAAUUCCUCUAAUGGUAACGUUUUUAUGCAUUAUAAGUUGUAUCAAUUUGCUAGUACAUAUAAAUAAAUUAAUUUUUUAGAA